GACGAACGCUGGCGGCGUGCUUAACACAUGCAAGUCGAACGGAAAGGCCUGCUUUCCCUUGUGGAUUGCGGGUACUCGAGUGGCGAACGGGUGAGUAACACGUGAGUGAUCUGCCCCCAACUUGGGUAUAAGCCUGGGAAACUGGGUCUAAUUCCCGAUAGGACUGCAGGGUGGUGCCUGUGGUGGAAAACGAUUUUCUAGUGGUUGGGGAUGAGCUCGCGGCCUAUCAGCUUGUUGGUGGGGUAAUGGCCUACCAAGGCGGCGACGGGUAGCCGGCCUGAGAGGGUGGACGGCCACAUUGGGACUGAGAUACGGCCCAGACUGCUACGGGAGGCAGCAGUGGGGAAUAUUGCACAAUGGGCGGAAGCCUGAUGCAGCGACGCCGCGUGAGGGAUGACGGCCUUCGGGUUGUAAACUCCUUUCGACCGCGAGGAAGCCACCUGGUUGGAAGGGUGGUGACGGUAGUGGUAGAAGAAGCACCGGCUAACUACGUG
Molecule: ribosomal RNA, 494 nt
Filed under: uncultured bacterium
Lineage: Bacteria
Description: partial 16S ribosomal RNA
Rfam family: Bacterial small subunit ribosomal RNA
Source: RNAcentral